Molecule: non-coding RNA, 2326 nt
Organism: Chelonoidis abingdonii (Abingdon island giant tortoise)
Lineage: Eukaryota; Metazoa; Chordata; Testudines; Testudinidae
Source: RefSeq, a predicted model, not a curated record
CUCAUAUUUGGCAUUAGCUGCCGCUGCCUAGGAAUUUCCCGUCAUGCCUCCCGGGGCGGCCGGCCCUGUCAUUCUGCUCCCGGGGGUGGGAAGGGAGGUGCUGCUGGGGUCGCCCCAUGCGUGCUCUGCCGCCCCCGCUGCUCCUCUCGCUCUGCCUGGUGGCUGCUGGCGUAGCAGCAGCUGCCUGACUCACAGGCUUUGACACAAGCCAGAUGGCUGCGAUUGGUAGGCGCACAGGCUGCCUGGUACUGCAGUUGAUGAAACAGAGUAGGAAGACGUUUUAUGAUCAGUUGCGGGAGCACAAUAAGACUGCAGCUUUGCUAGCUCUUGCCCCUGUUCUUUGCCUCUGGUUUUGUUGGUGAGGAUAUCACAGUGAUGUCUGCAUUCAACCUGCUGCAUUUGGUGACAAAGAGCCAGCCAGUGGCCCUGCGAGCCUGUGGGCUUCCCUCAGGUUGAAUGGGUGCUGCUUGUUGUGUCAUGCACAUUGAGGGCCCUUUUAGGAAUGGGUGUCUCUGCUGCAGGAAAUGAUACACUAUGGUUUACUAAAUUUAGUUGUAAUUUAUUAGAGUUCUCUGUUGAAGCUGGAAGUUUGUUAUAAAUCACUGCUUUGCUUUUAGUGUGUUCAUAGCCUAGAUUUUAGAAUGCUUUGGAAACAUUAUCCAGCUUCCUUGCCCAAUAUGAUAUGAUAUAUCUCAAAUUUGAUAGCAUCUUCCUGUCCCCUGACACAGACUAUGCAGUUAGCCUGAAAAUCACAGUUGUAUUACAUAUUGCACACGGUUUUAAUAAGAAAUUGCUUAGCAGCAUUUAAUAUAUGAAAUAUUAUUAUUUAAUAAGUGUCUUAGGAAAAAGUUUUCAAAAUACUGUUCAAGUGCAUUUUCAUCUUUUUCAGCAUUUAUUCCUUUGGGUGUAUGAAAUUUUUAUUGUAAAUUUACUUUUAAUAAUAGUGCACACAAAGGUUCAUGCAGGAAGUGAUGUGAACUGUAAUGUAACUUUCUUCCCCUCACAAUGUGUACUUUAUUUAUGUGAUCCUAUAGUUCAAUCAAACAAAAAUGCUCCAUCACAGCUGCUCUUAUUUAGAAAUAACAUACACCUUUAAAAAAUACAGAGAGGAAUAACCACACUUCGUGUGUAAUGCCCUGCUCCUGCAUUUGGAUUUGCAAAGGCCGCCAUUUGGGCAUAAGGGCCCAUCCAUGUGAAUCUGACUGCAGGACCUUAGUCUAAAUGUUUAAUAUCAGCAUUUAAACAGUAACAUAUGUAAUAUCUUCAUAAGAUACCAAAUCUGACUAUUUGACAGGAAAUGACAACUUCAGUGGAUUAGUUUUUAGAAUUCAAAGGCUAUCUGGAAAUAGUUUUUAUUUUGACUUUUUUAAAAAAUAAGAUGCAGCUGUAAAUAAUCACUGAUUGAAACCCCAAGUAAUGUUCCAAUUUGGGCAUUUGUUAUGCACCCAUCCCUAAUGGGUAUAGGCACAAAAUACAACAAUUAAAGCAUCAUUUCUGUUUGCUAAUAUCAUUUAAGAGAAGCAUAUAGUAUAUGGAAGGAGUGUCAUAAACACUUUUGUGAUAGGACACAACAUUUAAGCUUAAUUGAUUUUUCUAGAGCUGAUUUAUAAUUUUAUUUGAACUAUCAAAACUGAGCCCCAGUUUUGUGGCAUAAGGGUCUAUUUUCCCUUCCAUAAUUCCCAGCAACCUAAACAGGAGUUAGAAGUGAACCUUGAUAAGGAGACAAUAAACCCCAUUGUGUCAGCCUGAUCUUUGCUUCCAAUUAUAUGUGCUGCUGAUCCAGGCUUCAAAUUCUGAAAACAGAGGACAAGCAAAUUUCCUAACUUAUUAUGCACCUUUGAUGUGAGCGCACACUGGUGAGACCUGCCUUAAAAUGAGGCAUUUACAGCUUUCCUGUUCAUUUUGUGCCUAUUCUAACAAGCAGAUCUCAAAGCUGGUCUGUUAGGAACAGAAUCCGAUAUUUCUAGUACAUAUCUGCUCAUGAAGCAUCACGUUAACCAUUUUGUCACCUGCGUUACCGGCACAAUCCAAUAUUAACAUGUUUUAUUAUAACUUUUAUAUCUCUGCAGUUUAUUUGUUUGUAUGAUCCAUAGCUACCCAAACUUUAACAGAUCAGUUACACUGACUACUUCAUAGAUGUAUAUUAUAAAACAAAAUUCAUCCACUGAUAGCAGAAUAAUGUAUAACUGCAUAUUUCAUGUGUUCUGAGAGGAAACUAAAUUUCCUAGACACUUAUAAAUUAAUGUUGGCUAAUUUUGUAUUCAAUUUGUUUAUGUGUAGUAGAGGUGGGGAACAGAACUAAAUGGUGAAGGGUACAUCAUAUAAA